RNAcentral lists this ribosomal RNA (774 nucleotides) under uncultured Neocallimastigales. RNAcentral describes it as "partial large subunit ribosomal RNA". It matches the Rfam family "Eukaryotic large subunit ribosomal RNA", at positions 24 to 639 of the family's 3401-position model. The record is from RNAcentral. Lineage: Eukaryota; Fungi; Neocallimastigomycota; Neocallimastigomycetes; Neocallimastigales.
UACGACUACAUAUCAGGCAUAUCAAUAAGCGGAGGAAAAGAAACUAACCAGGAUUCCCUCAGUAACGGCGAGUGAAGCGGGAAGAGCUCAAAUUUGGAAUCCUCAAGGUUUUACCUUGACGAAUUGUAGUUUAAAGAAGUGUUUUCUGUUGGAGUUUUGGUAAAAGUUCUUUGGAAUAGGACAUCAUAGAGGGUGAGAAUCCCGUAUUUGACCAUUUCUUCCAGCUGUGUGAUACACUUUCAAAGAGUCGGAUUGUUUGGGAAUGCAGUCCAAAAUGGGUGGUAAAUUUCAUCUAAAGCUAAAUAUUGGCGAGAGACCGAUAGCGAACAAGUACCGUGAGGGAAAGAUGAAAAGAACUUUGAAAAGAGAGUUAAACAGUACGUGAAAUUGUCAAAAGGGAAGCGUUUGACACCAGUGUUGUUUUCUCGAAAAUCAAUUAAAAAUAAAUUUGAUUUUGCGUUGUAUUGACCUUAAAAGCUUUCUUCACUUUUUUCAUGUCUUUUUUAAUGCACUUUUCGUUUAACAAGUCAGCAUCAGUUUCUUUUGUUGUAAAAAGGUCAUUGGAAGGUGGCUUUCUUUUCGGAGAAAGUGUUUAUAGCCUUUGACUCCUGCAAUCGGAGAGACUGAGGUCUGCAGCGUAGAUCCUUUGGAUUAGAUUCAUUUGUGCUAAGUUAUAGCUUUUUAUAGACAACUUGUUGACUAUAUUUAGUCUUGUAACUUACUCGCUUAUGUAAUUUUACCUACGCUUAGGAUGUUGACGCGCGUGUGUGCGUG